Molecule: long non-coding RNA, 205 nt
Filed under: Mytilus galloprovincialis (Mediterranean mussel)
Lineage: Eukaryota; Metazoa; Mollusca; Bivalvia; Mytilida; Mytilidae
Source: RNAcentral
CUGUUUCAAUAUACUACUGCAACAGUUUGUCAUCGCAACCCCUCUGAAACCAUAAAACAGAAUUUCAUGAAACUUUGUAGAUAAUAAGGACAUACUACGUAGAUGUGCAUAUCGACAGGAAAUUGUGAUGCAAUUUUUUUAAGAGGUACGUCCCUUUGAACUUAUCUGUUUCAAUAUGCUACUGCAACGGUUUGUCAUCGCAACC